GAUGAACGCUGGCGGCGUGCCUAAUACAUGCAAGUCGAGCGAACAGAUAAGGAGCUUGCUCCUUUGACGUUAGCGGCGGACGGGUGAGUAACACGUGGGUAACCUACCUAUAAGACUGGAAUAACUCCGGGAAACCGGGGCUAAUGCCGGAUAACAUGUUGAACCGCAUGGUUCUACAGUGAAAGGCGGCUUUGCUGUCACUUAUAGAUGGACCCGCGCCGUAUUAGCUAGUUGGUGAGGUAACGGCUCACCAAGGCAACGAUACGUAGCCGACCUGAGAGGGUGAUCGGCCACACUGGAACUGAGACACGGUCCAGACUCCUACGGGAGGCAGCAGUAGGGAAUCUUCCGCAAUGGGCGAAAGCCUGACGGAGCAACGCCGCGUGAGUGAUGAAGGUCUUCGGAUCGUAAAACUCUGUUAUUAGGGAAGAACAAAUGCGUAAGUAACUGUGCGCGUCUUGACGGUACCUAAGCAGAAAGCCACGGCUAACUACGU
Molecule: ribosomal RNA, 496 nt
Filed under: uncultured bacterium
Lineage: Bacteria
Description: partial 16S ribosomal RNA
Rfam family: Bacterial small subunit ribosomal RNA
Source: RNAcentral